This 657-nucleotide ribosomal RNA is filed under the name Salinivibrio sp. TA21. RNAcentral's name for it is "bacterial SSU rRNA". It matches the Rfam family "Bacterial small subunit ribosomal RNA", at positions 125 to 775 of the family's 1533-position model. The record is from RNAcentral. Lineage: Bacteria; Pseudomonadati; Pseudomonadota; Gammaproteobacteria; Vibrionales; Vibrionaceae.
CCUGCCCUGACGAGGGGGAUAACCGUUGGAAACGACGGCUAAUACCGCAUAAUGUCUACGGACCAAAGGUGGCCUCUACAUGUAAGCUAUCGCGUCGGGAUGGGCCCAGUUAGGAUUAGCUAGUUGGUAAGGUAAUGGCUUACCAAGGCGACGAUCCUUAGCUGGUUUGAGAGGAUGAUCAGCCACACUGGGACUGAGACACGGCCCAGACUCCUACGGGAGGCAGCAGUGGGGAAUAUUGCACAAUGGGGGAGACCCUGAUGCAGCCAUGCCGCGUGUGUGAAGAAGGCCUUCGGGUUGUAAAGCACUUUCAGCAGUGAGGAAGGUAGUGUACUUAAUACGUGCAUUGCUUGACGUUAGCUGCAGAAGAAGCACCGGCUAACUCCGUGCCAGCAGCCGCGGUAAUACGGAGGGUGCGAGCGUUAAUCGGAAUUACUGGGCGUAAAGCGCAUGCAGGCGGUUUGUUAAGUCAGAUGUGAAAGCCCGGGGCUCAACCUCGGAACCGCAUUUGAAACUGGCAGGCUAGAGUCUUGUAGAGGGGGGUAGAAUUUCAGGUGUAGCGGUGAAAUGCGUAGAGAUCUGAAGGAAUACCAGUGGCGAAGGCGGCCCCCUGGACAAAGACUGACGCUCAAAUGCGAAAGCGUGGGUAGCAAACAG